CGUUCUCAGUCGUGCUGCAACCAACCCCCACCUUUACCUCUCCCAUCUUCCUUCCUUUCCUAACAUGAUUUCUUCUUCUUCACUCAUCCCAUUUUCCUAGCUCACAAACAAUGUCUCUUACACCACUGAUGUUCCGGUCACUAAUGAGGCUGCUGGCGGCGCUAGUACACCAGCCAGCGGCCGCGGUCACCACCCUCCUCUACUACAGCGAUCUCCUCCCUCGACACCUCAACUUGGAGCGUCUGGUCCGCCGUGAGUUUCUCGAUCGAGACAACUAUCUGUUCCAUUUCCUCAUCAACGUUUUGAGAUGCUUCUGAGUCGAUGGGAUCGCAUCGGAUCGAUGUUUUUCUGCAGUUUUAACAUCGAUGAAUCGGCAAGUUUGGUCUAUAUGAAUUAACAUGAUCAGAGAUUUUCAUGUCUGGAGUAGAGUGUAUGAUUUCUUGUGGUCAUUUCCUUUUUUGAGAUGGAGAGUUGUAGUUUGAUAUAUAUAUAUAUAUAUAUAUAUAUAUACCAUGGAGAGCAUCAUAACAAGGAGGCGAUGGAGGCAGAUAGGGUCAGGGUUUUUCUUCUUCUUCAAUUUUUUUUUUUUUUUUUGAAGAUUGUAGUGUUAUGGGGUUUAGUUGUAUGUGCCCAAAAAAAUAAAAAGUAAAAGAAAAUGGAAUCAUUUCCAUAUUCCAUGGAUACAUAUUUCAUUAUGAGGGGUUAUGCAAAUAGUAUUUUGGACUAAUGAAGGAGAUUAAUUGGUGCAUUUGCAUCUUCAUUUGA
Molecule: long non-coding RNA, 765 nt
Organism: Vitis riparia (riverbank grape)
Lineage: Eukaryota; Viridiplantae; Streptophyta; Magnoliopsida; Vitales; Vitaceae
Exons: 3
Source: RefSeq, a predicted model, not a curated record